This 2346-nucleotide long non-coding RNA is filed under the name Equus caballus (horse). RNAcentral's name for it is "lncRNA (ENSECAG00000032299.3)". Lineage: Eukaryota; Metazoa; Chordata; Mammalia; Perissodactyla; Equidae. The record is from RNAcentral.
CAUUCAAUUUCUCCAGGGUCCUGACAAAGGGCCUCUUUCCCUUGCUCAUUUUUUUUUUGAGGAAGAUUAGCCCUGAGCCAACAUCUGCCACCAAUCCUUCUCUUUUUGCUGAGGAAGACUGGCCCUGAACUAACAUCCAUGCCUAUCUUCCCCUACUUUAUAAGUGGGACACCUGCCAUAGCAUGGCUUGAUGAGCAGUGCAUAGGUCCGCACCUAGGAUCGGAACCGGCAAACCCUGGGCCACCAAAGCGGAGCGCUAACUUAACUGCUGUGCCACUGACUGGCCCCCUUCCCUCGCUCAUUCAAUUAGGCAAGAUAAGGAAGCCAUGGGCUAUUCCUUUCCCUUCUUUCUUUUCUUGCUUAAACGGUUUUUUUAGAAUGGAUUUUAUUUGCAAAUAUUAGCAUCAUGUCUAUUUUUGCGUUAGCUUGCAAUGUCUAAAUUAAUGGUAUCAUCCAGUCCAUUGCUUCUUAAUUUCAGAAGCAAAAUCGUGAGGGUUUCUAUGUAAGGAAGCUGGAGAGGAGGCUGCAUGCGUGGAAUGCACUUGGCCCAGGUCUUCCAUGAGUAUUCUGUCUGAAUUCGCUGCCAUCCUGAAAGAAGUGCUUCCCUCCUCCUCUGGUCCUCCUGGUGAUGGGAGAGGAAGGGAUUCCUCCUAUUUUCUGCAGCUGUUUACUUAGGCAGCCAUCAAUAAUUCAGGACAUCAGCUCCUUCCUGAAAGCCCAGGUGAGGGCAAAGGGCCUAGCCCAGGCCAGCAGCUCAUUUGCUCCAUCCUGCAAGACUCAGCUGAUAUCCCGCAGGCUCCUGGCUGGCCAGACCACAGCUGUGCUUGGAGAGGAGAACAAGGUAAGCUUUGACUUUGGAGUUGAGAUCUGGUUUUGUUUUCUCCCUUAGCUACUUCCCCAGCUCUCCUUAGUCUAUGAGAAUGCCAGAGGCCACAUCUGGGGCGGAGACCCUUCUAUCUCUUCUGAGUAGCAGCAUGCUACCCACAGAAGGCUGGGAUCCCAGCCUCAGACUCCAGCUUCUCACACCAGACCAGUGAAACAGGCUUUUCUGAAGAGAAGCAGCACAAUGCAAAUAUUUGAAUCUCUCUUCAUUUUCCUCUCCCUCCAAGCAAGGCACAGAAGUCAUGGUUUAAAGCAGAAGAGGGUGAAAGGGUCGCUGCCCACUACACCCAUUUGGGGGGCCACUGCAGUAGAACGCUGUGUCUGACUUGGUCCCUGGGUGUGGUUGCUGCAUCUUGCUCAUCUCCCCAUGGCUAAUGCUUAACACAAAUCCUGGACUGUGACUUGAAAACGGACACCUUCUUCCUAAUAUAAUCCAGCCCACGAAAUAUUCCUCUGAGUCAGCAAUCUCUUGACCGAGGGGAACAUGCUACAGAUCCUGGGAAAGAGAGUGAAGGAAAUUAGCAAAUGGCAGCUUCCUGCACUUUGCCACAAACAAUAACAAAACCCGUCAAAGGAGCAGAAUAUGGCAGUCAAUAUGGAUUUUCUCAUUCCUGUCAAUCAAAGGGCUUUCAAACACAGGAGAUGCUCCCACUCUGUGCUCACUGUUGGUUUGGGUAGAAGGCCAGGGGGUCUCUCUAAAGAUGUUAAGCAUUUAACACAUGGUGCAGGAGGCCCUGCCUGUGUGCUUGCUAGGAGAGGGCCUAUCUCUCUCAAAUGUGUAGGAUCACUAGGAAUUUGCACAAGAACUUUUGUCUGCUGUGUUUGCUAAGGCACAGCACAAUACUGAUGAGGCAGUAGAUAAUUUACGGGGUUUUUUAAAAAAACAAAUUCUUCUGAGUAGAGUAUAAAUUAUAGUAGUUUAACGUGUCCAUAAUAUAGAACACGCUGCAUGUGUGGAGAAGAGGAGUAAGUUAGGGAAAAUAGAAACUGCUUUAUUAAGACGGAAUUUCACUGUAUUUUACAGCAUAAUACUAAUUCCCAACAACCAGGAUAGAUUCUUUUCAUAGUGAACAAAGUUCAUAAGAAAACUAUGUGAAUAUUCUCUGGAGACCCUAAAGACAGAGAGAAAUUGAAUAAAAAUAAAUCAGCUUGAAAAUCCAUGAAUGUUUCUGCAGAGUAUCAGGACAUCAGCAGUUGGGAAACUAACGCAUUCAAAUUAUUAUUACUACUUUGUAUUAGAGCAGCUAUUUAAUUGUCACCAAUGAGAGGAAAGUGGUGUAUUUUUCAGUUUGGCAUUUUCAGAACUGUCAGUGAUCAGAUAAAUAAAUAAAUAUGCAAGCGAAUUAUUUUUAUCUCUUCCUGUUUUAGCUAAGUAGCCGGUCAAUGGUCUUUAAUAGAUUUUAUUUCUAAAAGCCACACUUAAGAAAGGAAGGUCAACAGAUGAAAAGGAUCCAGCCUCUUGGG